GAUGAACGCUGGCGGCGUGCCUAAUACAUGCAAGUCGAGCGAACAGACGAGGAGCUUGCUCCUCUGACGUUAGCGGCGGACGGGUGAGUAACACGUGGAUAACCUACCUAUAAGACUGGGAUAACUUCGGGAAACCGGAGCUAAUACCGGAUAAUAUAUUGAACCGCAUGGUUCAAUAGUGAAAGACGGUUUUGCUGUCACUUAUAGAUGGAUCCGCGCCGCAUUAGCUAGUUGGUAAGGUAACGGCUUACCAAGGCGACGAUGCAUAGCCGACAUGAGAGGGUGAUCGGCCACACUGGAACUGAGACACGGUCCAGACUCCUACGGGAGGCAGCAGUAGGGAAUCUUCCGAAAUGGGCGAAAGCCUGACGGAGCAACGCCGCGUGAGUGAUGAAGGUCUUCGGAUCGUAAAACUCUGUUAUUAGGGAUGAACAAAUGUGUAAGUAACUGUGCACGUCUUGACGGUACCUAAUCAGAAAGCAACGGCUAACUACGUG
This 497-nucleotide ribosomal RNA is filed under the name uncultured bacterium. Its description in RNAcentral is "partial 16S ribosomal RNA". It matches the Rfam family "Bacterial small subunit ribosomal RNA", at positions 28 to 507 of the family's 1533-position model. The record is from RNAcentral.